UACGUAGGUGGCAAGCGUUAUCCGGAAUUACUGGGCGUAGAGCGCACGCAGGCGGUCUUUUAAGUUUGACGUGAAAGCUCCCGGCUUAACUGGGAGAGGUCGUUGAAUACUGGAAGACUUGAGGCAAUGAGAGGGGUGUAGAAUUCCCGGUGUAGUGGUGGAAUGCGUAGAUAUCGGGGGGAAUACCAGUGGCGAAAGCGGCACCCUAGCGUUAGCCUGACGCUCAUGUGCGAAAGCGUGGGGAGCAAACGGG
This 253-nucleotide ribosomal RNA is filed under the name uncultured bacterium. Its description in RNAcentral is "partial 16S ribosomal RNA". It matches the Rfam family "Bacterial small subunit ribosomal RNA", at positions 524 to 776 of the family's 1533-position model. The record is from RNAcentral.